This 206-nucleotide ribosomal RNA is filed under the name uncultured bacterium. RNAcentral describes it as "partial 16S ribosomal RNA". It matches the Rfam family "Bacterial small subunit ribosomal RNA", at positions 568 to 774 of the family's 1533-position model. The record is from RNAcentral.
UACGUAGGUGGUUUUCUAAGCACGGGGUUUAAGGCAAUGGCUUAACCAUUGUUCGCCUUGUGAACUGGAAGACUUGAGUGCAGGAGAGGAAAGCGGAAUUCCUAGUGUAGCGGUGAAAUGCGUAGAUAUUAGGAGGAACACCAGUGGCGAAGGCGGCUUUCUGGACUGUAACUGACACUGAGGUACGAAAGCGUGGGGAGCAAACA